Molecule: long non-coding RNA, 7263 nt
Filed under: Triticum aestivum (bread wheat)
Lineage: Eukaryota; Viridiplantae; Streptophyta; Magnoliopsida; Poales; Poaceae
Description: long non-coding RNA (TAES_LNC012582)
Source: RNAcentral
CAGGGCUACACUGCUGCUGGAGGAAUACCUUGCACGGGUUUAGCUGCUGCAAAAUGGAUGGAUGAACAAUAGGGAUUUGUUGUUGCAGAAGCUGUUGGUGUUGUUGCUGCGAAAAUGCUGGUUGUUGUGGUAGAACUGUUUGUUGUUGCUGCGAAAAUGCUGGUUGUUGUGGUAGAACUGGUUGUUGUUUCUGUGAAAAUAGUGGUUGCUGCGAAAAUGAAGGUUGUUGCUGCAAAAAUGGUGGUUGUUGAGGAAAUGGUUGUUGUUGUUGUGAAGAUGGUGGUUGUUGUGGAAAUGUCUCUUUUUGUUGUAAUGGUUGUUGCUGCCAUGGUCUCUCCAAACCAGGGAUGCAGCUAGUCUCCAUCUGUGCAAUGGCAGAUGUCGCCACAACGGCUAGAAGGGCAAAGACGAGGAAGGUCUUCAUGAUGGAUUGGUGCUAACUAGUUUUGCUUGGUUUUGAUGCUUGUGCUUGUGAUGAUCUUUAUACUUCAUGCCUAUUUAUAGUAGUCCGGGCACCACCUCUUUCCUUCUAUGCAUCAACUUUAAUAAUUCUGUUUGCAUGCAUCAGAAAUGAUUUUUUGGUACAUUGUGGUAGGUUGCACUAGCUACAACGGUACUUUUGGAUUGAUCAUCAAAGUUGCUUUUUAGUUGUGCAUAUGAUCAUACACAAAGUACAGAAAUCCUGAUGUGUGGUAUAUAUGACUCGCCUUAUUCACUUUACAUGUCAAAUACUUAUAAGAAUAGUAUCACUUUAGCAACUGAGUUUGGAACCUUGUAUAGGCUGUCAACCAUAAACAAGAAAGGCAAAACUCGUGUAGAACCUUGUGGGAUGUUAAGAUAUGUUCGAUUAUUAAAGCCCUGCAUGUGGAGGGUUUGUCUAGACUCGGUUGCUUUUUAUAAAACUAACUUUGUAUUGUUCUCUAAGAUGAUAAGAUGAACUGCCGUAUAGAGCAUGACAUAAUUCACAGAAUUCCCUUUACAUGUAAGGAUGGUAGUUGCUUACAAGUUACUAGCAUAUAUCCGGUCCUCACUCUAGAUACGUCAUCAUCAGUUUGAUCUAUUUGUGAAGGAUUUUUCUAGAUAAGAUGAUUCUUUUGGUGGACUAAGUUUGUACUGUUAAGUAAAUAUUUCAUUGGGGCCGCCAGGUCUCUUUUACUAAAUCUUACGGGCAUGAGGUUGAUACUUAAUUGAAUUGUGUAGAACAUAUACACAGAUAACCUAUUGGAAAAUAUUAUAUGUUUGUUAUACUUUUAGGCAAACAUAGUUUGGUUUACUAUGGGGCAUGUUCAUGUGUAUAAUAAUGCAUUUACAUGUAUCGAGGUAUUUCAUCAACCCAAAAGGAAAAGUGCAAACAUUUUAAUAUUUUUCAUGAACAAACCUUAAGAACCUAUUCGUAGCUACCCUGCUAGAUCAUGGACAACAAGCACAUUUUAUUUGUUGGAUUUUGAGAAGGUCUAUAUUGUUCCCCGCAAAAAAAGUUCUAGAUUGUUUCAUGGCAACUUGUUUGUGACCGGCUAUUCUGAAGCAUCUUAUCUAGGUCAUACAUAUGUUUUUUUGUUAUUAAUCUAUUAAUGGCUGAAUGAACAGAUCCUAAAUGAUAAAGAAAAACAAUUCUAGGAUUAUGGGGCAUCUCCACCGCUUGUUUGAAUAAAACCAGAGGAUUUUAUGAUUAUGAUUUUGGUCCGAAAUAUGUUAAUGAUAUGUGCACUCGAUCUGAGCCAAUAUCCGAUGAGCUGAAAACUGUUUAAUGGCCCGUGAAUAAGUUUCUUUUUCUUCAUAUGUAUCAGAAAUCUGGAAUGGUAAUACUACAUACUCAAUUCAAAUUUGAAAAUACAUCAGAUCCCAGCUACAGAGGUCGCCGUGUGUUUCAAAGGGGCCUCUAUCGCAACUCUGGCCGUCCGCAAUUACAUUGGAUGGCACGCUAGUCCGCCAUUCAUCGUGGGGAGCCGCCGGCAGAGCAGGUCAGAGGUCCUGCAAUUGCAACUAGCAGGUUAUUCAUCCAAUCUAUGUCCAUCAGUUAAUGCUUGAUCCUGGAGUAAAUGGUACUUGUAUGGAUAUAUAGUUGCUGAGAGGAAUUUCUUUGCCUAGUGUUUGUUCUGAUUGCUAGCUUGGUUGGUGGAGAAAUCGCUACUUCUUCGUGGUAGGGCAGCAGUGGAGAAUUAGUACAGACAAACUUUGCAAAAAAUUCCGGUGGGUUGAGAAGUACUCCUAGAUUAAGUGGAGAUAGUACUAGAUCUGAUGGCUGCCGGAGAUAGUAGUAGAUGUUAUACUGUACACUAGCACAGUAUGAGGUCAUUCUGUUGUUAUGUACAAAGUCUAUCACUGAGAUGUACAUAUAUGAGUGAUAGCUGCAUAUAAUUUCUUGCAAAAUCCAUGCUUCCUUGCAGGUAGGAGGCCCUCAUGGCGCCCCGUGACGAGCCUGAUCCCUAUUUGGUAUGGUGAGUAUCGAAUCGAAACUCAAAUAUGCUUUCAUCGAUUUGCCGAUCUCACAUUAUAUGAAUCUAAGUGUUGAAUCAGAACUCAAAUAUUCAUUUAUUGAUUUUCCGAUCUCGUAUUGUAUGCAUCUGGCAGGAGAGAUUAUCGCCAGAGGCUGUGGAACAACCUGAAGGACACUUGUGGUUAAGCAGCAGCAGCAGCAGCAGGUGAGGUGUUCAUGCCAGUCAGUUGGUGGUCAGACUGGCACUUGUUGGAUUUGGAUGAUACAGGUGAGGAAGAAACUAAACAAAGACUAGUUAUGUGGUCACCUGGGACUCCGGAUUGUUUUUUGGUGCCAUGUAGUCUUGUUUUGCUGUUAUACACUUGAUAAAUGCCAUGAGCCGUUUUGGCAGUGUUAGAGAUAAUCACGAUUAGGCAUCUGAGUCCGGCACGGACUCGUAGCCCAGGCCGAGUCGGCUGUGUAUAGGUAGAUAGGUAGUGCUAUAUAUACCUGUACGUGGUUCCCCCUGUAAGGAUUAGAUCGAAAAGUAAUAAAAAUCAGCAGGACCGAUACGGCCCUGUAGCCAUCAAGUCGCCGCGUGUGUUUCGUGUGUGUUCCCGGCAACUAGUACUUCGUACGUGAUUGUUGUCUAGCCAGCCAGAGCAAUCGAACUACUUGUGAAUCCUACACUAGCGUUCGUCCAGAAAGAAAUCGGCCGUAGCUAGUUCGUCGUCCAUUGUUCCGCCGGAAAGUAAACAGCGGAUCGCUGCGUCGACAUCCGGACCAGUGCUAACAAUUGGUAUCUAGAGUUUUGGUAUUGACGUGAUUCUCGGGAAGCAAUCGAAGGAUCAUGUAGACCACACGCAAGGAGAUUGUGACGGCGGCAGCGGGAGCACCGAUGCCGAUGGUGGGGGGAUCACAAUUCCCCCGUCUGGAUCGAGAGGACUACGCACUAUGGGCGAUGAACAUGGAGGUCGCGAUGGAGGGAGCUGAGUUCUGGGAAGCCGUCGACCCGGGCGGCGCCGAGUACGCAAAGGGCGCGGCGAAGUACCGGAAGGAUCGUCAGGCGUUAACAGCGAUCUACUCCGCCAUGCCGAAGGAUGUGCUGCAACACCUCGUCGGAAAGAACUCGGCGAAGGAGGCAUGGGAGACCAUCAAGAUCCUGCACCAGGGUCAUGACCGUGUCAAGGAAGCACACCUUCAGUCCCUGAUGAGAAGCUACGAGUGCCUGAAGAUGGAUGAAAGUGAGACGGUUGAUCAGUUUGCCGCCCGUCUCAAGACCCUCGUCAAUGGCAUACGCAGCUAUGGUUCAACCCUAGAAGAAGUUGCGAUCGUACGACGAUUUUUGCGCGCCGCGCCUGCACGCUACAUCCAGAUCGUCACGUCGAUCGAACAAUGUCUCGACCUAAAGACUCUCACGGUCGAGGAUCUCGUCGGAAGGUUCAAGGCCCACGACGAGAGAAUUCGUCUCAGCUUCGGCGAUUCGAAGGAGAGUGAGCAUCUCAUGCUUACAAUGGCUCAAUGGAUGGCCCUGAUGAAAGAAAAGCAAGGUGGAUCCUCGAGCGGCAGUAAAGCAAAGGAGAAGCAACGCCCGGCGAGAAAGGACUUUGCUGGACAGGAAGAAAAGGCUGGAAAACCAAGGAGAAAAUUUGACAUAAAGAAAGUAAAGUGUCACAACUGUGGAAUCCUCGGUCACUUCAAGUCUGAUUGCAAGAAUCCACCGAAGGAAAGAGCUCUCAUGGCCAAGGGAGGCGAUGAUAGCGACAUGAUGCUCAUGGUCGAAGUAUGCGAGCUUAUGGACAAGGUGGGUCCAGCUCCAAAGGCGCCGGCUAUCGAGGUUGUCACGCUCAACGAAGAGAAGGUUUAUCUUCAUGACAAGCAGAGGACGAACACGGCGGGACACGUGUGGUACCUCGACACGGGAGCAAGCAACCACAUGACUGGCGACAAGGACCAGUUUUCUGAGCUAAAUCUCUCGGUGGGAGGCACGGUUCGGUUCGGUGACGGGCGAACCGUUGGCAUCACAGGGCGAGGCACUGUCCUGUUUGAGCUGAAGAACGGCGGUCACAAGGUACUCACAGAUGUGUACUAUAUUCCCAAACUAAAGAGCAACAUCAUAAGUCUCGGCCAGCUUGAGGAGCGUGGUUGCAAGAUUGUGCUCGAAGAUGGCUAUUUAUGGGGGUAUGACCGUCAAAGGAUGUUGAUCAUGAAAGUGCAGAGGUCGCCGAACAGACUCUACAUCCUCAACUUGGAUCGUGUGGAUCCAGUAUGUCUCUUGUCAAGCAUGGAAGACUCGGCAUGGAAGUGGCACGCGCGCUACGGUCAUCUAAAUUUUCAAGCUCUUCGGCAACUUGGACAAAAGGAGAUGGUACGUGGUCUACCGUGCAUCGAUCAUGUUGAGCAAGUGUGCGACGGUUGCCUUGUUGGGAAACAAAGGCGGGCCUCGUUCCCUAGAGAGGGAAACUUUAGAGCAAGUAAAGCUCUUGAGUUGGUCCAUGGAGAUUUGUGCGGCCCUAUUACUCCGGCUACCCCAGCUGGGAACAAAUACUUCUUGCUCAUCGUCGACGACUUCAGCAGAUACAUGUGGAUUGUGUUGUUGAAGACGAAAGAUCAAGCUUUGCAAGCCUUCAGGAAAGUAAAGAUGGCGGCCGAAGUCGAGUCUGAAGCCAAGCUGAAGGCCCUCCGUACCGAUCGGGGGGGUGAGUUCAAGUCUCGUAAAUUCACGGAAUUUUGCGAAGCACAUGGGAUCAAGCGGUAUCUUACGGCGCCAUAUUCACCACAGCAAAACGGUGUUGUGGAACGGAGGAAUCAAACUGUGGUGGCGAUGGCACGAAGCAUGAUGAAGAGCAAAGGGAUGCCGGGCAAGUUUUGGGGUGAGGCGGUCAACACGGCCGUUUAUUUGCUGAAUCGGGCUCCAACCAAGAGUGUGGUUGGGAUGACGCCGUAUGAAGCAUGGUACGGGCACAAGCCCGCGGUUGAUCAUCUUCGCACUUUUGGGUGCGUCGCGCAUGUGAAGACGGUGGCCGGGCAUACUAGCAAGUUGGCGGACCGGAGUACUCCAAUGAUGUUGGUUGGCUAUGAAGCGGGCACGAAGGCAUAUCGUGCAUGCAACCCCUCUAACAAUAAGGUGGUUGUAACGCGUGACGUGGUCUUUGAAGAAGCAAGGUCAUGGAAUUGGAACUCCACCGAGCCGGUAUACCCGAUCUCUGAUGAAAUCUUUCACGUUUUUUACAACGAUUCUGAGCGUGCAGAUAAUAUUGAUCAACCGGACACUUCGGCGGCACGGAGCGAUGCUCGAGACGACGACGCGCGGCGAGACGCGUCAGGGAGUUCACCUAUAUCUGGUGGCGUGCCAGGAAGAGACGCUGCGAGCGGCGCUACAGGCAGCAGCAGCAGUGGAGAGAGAGCCACGUAUCCUGCACCCGGCAGCCCAGCCAGGUGCGCUGGAGGCAGCAGCGGCCCAGCACCAGGCUCUCCACCAGGGAGUUCUUCCCACGAGCCAGAAAGCCCAGCCGCUACCCAAUCUCCACAAGGCCACGUGACAGGAGGUCCAGAAGUGCAUGCACGUGAAGCAACUUCAGAUUUCGUGGCUGGUUCUUCUGGUGCACGUGCAGAUAGCUCAUGAGAGCCCCAAUCGCCAGAAAAUAGAAGCUUGGCAACUUCAGAUGAAUUUUCUUCGUCUUCGACAGAACAGGAGAGGAGGGAACAUCCGCCUACGCCAGUCCGUCUUCGACCAGUGUUAGAUUUAUAUCCGAAGAAAGCGCUUCAGAAGGUAAAUCCAGUGCAUCAUGAUAGGACGAAGCACAUCGACAUACGGUAUCACUACAUACGGGAGUGCGUGGAAGAAAGCAAGAUUGAAGUCAACUAUGUUUGCACCGACGACCAGCUUGCAGAUAUCCUGACCAAGUCUUUGGGGCGGCAGAAGUUUACGGAGAUGCGGGGAAGGAUCGGUGUCAAAGCUGUGAAGUGAGGACAUCGUGCUUAGGGGGGUGAUUGUUAGAGAUAAUCACGAUUAGGCAUCUGAGUCCGGCACGGACUCGUAGCCCAGGCCGAGUCAGCUGUGUAUAGGUAGAUAAGUAGUGUUAUAUAUACCUGUACGUGGUUCCCCUUGUAAGGAUUAGAUCGAAAAGUAAUAAAAAUCAGCAGGACCGAUACGGCCCUGUAGCCAUCAAGUCGCCGCGUGUGUUUCGUGUGUGUUCCCGGCAACUAGUACUUCGUACGUGAUUGUUGUCUAGCCAGCCAGAGCAAUCAAACUACUUGUGAGUCCUACACUAGCGUAUCGUCCAGAAAGAAAUCGGCCGUAGCUAGUUCGUCGUCCGUUGUUCCGCCGGAAAGUAAACAGCGGAUCGCUGCGUCGACGUCGGGACCAGUGCUAACAGGCAGCACUGGUGUCAUUUCAUUGUUGUUUUAGUAGGUGCUUUGGCUAAAAUAGAAAAGAAAAAGAUUAUGCACGCCUAGGUUGUGUCAUGAUUGUUAUCGGCUUUGUUGAACUUCGACCUCUGUCUUCUUCAGAUACCUGUAAUGUGAAUUAAUAAUCUCCUUCCACAUUUCCCAGGUUUAGUAGAAGAUGGUAUGUUCUCGCACCUGUGAAGUAUUUAUCUUGCCAGUUAUAGUGUCAUUAUUUAGUUGAAAUGACAAGGCAUUGACUUUUUAUCUUGUGUUCGGAUAGUACUAUUUGAAGCUGUGAUUUAUCUGUUUCAAUACUGAUGGUACCCUAGUAGUGCUGGUUACUGGGGAGGUGUAUGCGGCAUGUCGAAUCAUUCUUCCGCAAGAGGCCCUAAAGCUUCAAAUUGUUUAGAACCUGUCUGCACUCUGCAGUUUGGAACCUUGCGGAAGGAUGCUGUGAA